This 417-nucleotide ribosomal RNA is filed under the name Streptococcus mitis. RNAcentral describes it as "bacterial SSU rRNA". It matches the Rfam family "Bacterial small subunit ribosomal RNA", at positions 28 to 435 of the family's 1533-position model. The record is from RNAcentral. Lineage: Bacteria; Bacillati; Bacillota; Bacilli; Lactobacillales; Streptococcaceae.
GACGAACGCUGGCGGCGUGCCUAAUACAUGCAAGUAGAACGCUGAAGGAGGAGCUUGCUUCUCCGGAUGAGUUGCGAACGGGUGAGUAACGCGUAGGUAACCUGCCUGGUAGCGGGGGAUAACUAUUGGAAACGAUAGCUAAUACCGCAUAAGAGUAGAUGUUGCAUGACAUUUGCUUAAAAGGUGCAAUUGCAUCACUACCAGAUGGACCUGCGUUGUAUUAGCUAGUUGGUGGGGUAACGGCUCACCAAGGCGACGAUACAUAGCCGACCUGAGAGGGUGAUCGGCCACACUGGGACUGAGACACGGCCCAGACUCCUACGGGAGGCAGCAGUAGGGAAUCUUCGGCAAUGGACGGAAGUCUGACCGAGCAACGCCGCGUGAGUGAAGAAGGUUUUUCGGAUCGUAAAAGCUCUG